ACGGGGGGGGCAAGCGUUGUUCGGAAUUACUGGGCGUAAAGGGUUCGUAGGUGGCCAACUAAGUCAGACGUGAAAUCCCUCAGCUCAACUGGGGAACUGCGUCUGAUACUGGUUGGCUUGAGUGCAGGAGAGGAACGCGGAAUUCCAGGUGUAGCGGUGAAAUGCGUAGAUAUCGGGAGGAACACCAGUGGCGAAGGCGAGUCCCUGGGAUGAUACUGACGCUGAUGCUCGAAAGCUAGGGGAGCAAACGGGA
Molecule: ribosomal RNA, 253 nt
Filed under: uncultured prokaryote
Description: partial 16S ribosomal RNA
Rfam family: Bacterial small subunit ribosomal RNA
Source: RNAcentral